RNAcentral lists this long non-coding RNA (204 nucleotides) under Ananas comosus (pineapple). RNAcentral's name for it is "long non-coding RNA (ACOM_LNC042635)". The record is from RNAcentral. Lineage: Eukaryota; Viridiplantae; Streptophyta; Magnoliopsida; Poales; Bromeliaceae.
CCGGCACUCCGGAGAUAGCCAUCGCGAUUCGUAUUCGCCGUGCGGGAUUGGGCACCGAAGUGGAUUGCCGUGGGCCAGGCUCAUUCCUAAGGUGGGGAUGAUGACUACCACGGGGCCAUUAGGCUCGGCAUCGGCCAGACAGCCUACGGGUGGGUCUCAGGGCCAUAGACAGCCUUCGGGUGGGUCUCUCCAGCAUUGACUUUG